AAAGAAAUAGUACAUAGAGUAUAUUUGGUUUCCAUCCAGAAGAAAUAAAAUUUGUUUA
Molecule: transfer RNA, 58 nt
Filed under: Mongoloniscus sinensis
Lineage: Eukaryota; Metazoa; Arthropoda; Malacostraca; Isopoda; Agnaridae
Description: tRNA-Gly
Source: RNAcentral